CCCUGAAGGACAAAGUCAUCUCUGGUUGAGAAGCACUGGCAUAUGCCUUUUAUCUCUUCCUGGGUCUUUGAAAUAAAACAAACAUUUGAGACCUGACAGUCCCCAAAUAACUUUGAAUGGGGAGGCCUUGAAGAGGAGACGAGGACACUGUGUACUAAGUUCUUGAAAAGUCUUCUAGGAAAAUGAAGACAGAGAAGGGAAAAACAAAUCAAGUGGAAAAUGCAAAGGGAGAACUGAGAAGGGAUAAAGAUGGAGAAAAUGAACUCGAGGAAUGUAGCCUUACUUCACUCAGUUCACAUUAGCAAAGUUAUUUCACACUAACAAAAACACACUAAGGGAGUCCUAUUUGGAAAAUGCUGGUAUGCUUAGCAAAGAGUCUUGAUCAAUUUGUGAAAGUAUUUCUUUUUCUUUACAGCAUGGUACCAGCUAUAACCUCCUUGAACUGGCUACUUGAAAGAAGCCUUCCUUCAGCGAUAUCACUUCUUCUAAGGUAGUAGUUUAUGUUCCAGGAAAAGUCAAGAUUCCCUAGUGAGCUGGCCAUUGUCACAAAGCUAUGAUAGCUAAGUUUUUUUCAGGUUUUCUAAGAGCUAGAUUCUACUCAGCAUUAUCACAAACAAUCACUUUUAUUUUCAUAACUUCUUUCAUGUAGGAAUUUUUACAAAGCAUAUGAUGUUUAUUAAUUUUCAUCUCAUACCUGUGAAGGAAAUCAUUUUGAUUUUCCUGUUUUAUAGAUACAGAAGCCAAAAUAUGGAGUCCACAAAAAAUAGUGAUAAAUCUGGAAACAGCCUACAGGGAUCUUCACUCUGGAUCAUUCUUUAUGUUUAGCACCACCCCAGAUCUUCAACUACCUAAUAGUAAGCUAAAGAUGAUAAUACUUCAAUUGAAUGCUAAAUUAUGUUUAAAGCCAAUAUUUUAUUGGCUUUAAAAUAUUCCAUAGUCUCUUCAUUUGACCUAUAAAAUAGCAGGCCUAUAGAGACUUUGACUUAAAACAAUAGUGACAGUACUUGAACUAGUACCCAGAUCUCAUGAUUCUUAGUCUAGUAUACUUUUCACUUGGUAAUACUUAGCUUACAGAAAAAAUAAUUAAGACAGAAACUCUAAUACACAUAGUAAUACACAUAAUAAUAAUAACUCUAAUACACAUAGUAAUACACAAAACUCUAAUACACAUACCAGACUUAUCCAACCAUUUGAGUACUUCAUUACAUAGGGGUCUUAAAAAGUUAGUUUUAGGGCUGGGUCUGGGGCUCAGCAGUAGAGCACUUGUCUAGCACGUGCAAGGCCCUGGGUUCAAUCCUCAGCACCACAUCUAAAUAAAUAAAAUAAAGGUAUUGUGUCCAGCUACAACUAAAAAGUAUAUAUAUUUUUUAAAAAGUUAGCUUUAGUGAGGAAAAGAAAGUCAUAGUAGGGUUGGGGUUGUGGCUCAGUGGUAGAGCACUUGACUAGCAUGUGUGAGGCACUGGGUUCAAUUCUCAGAACCACAUAUAAAUAAAUAAAUAGAAUAAAGGUCCGUUGACAACUAAAAAGUAUUUUAAAAAAGACAUAGUAUUUAUUAAUGAAAAGCAACUAGUAACUACAAAAUUAAAUUUAUAUUUGGGUUGAUGUAGUAGACUUCAGAAGGUGCAGUGAGUCUUCCCCUAAAGAAGUUUUGCAUAGGGUUAGCCUUUGAGAAAUAGAUUAAUAGGAAUAAAUUCUUAAUUAUCAAAUUUAGUAAUAUGUGAAAAUGAUAAAAUUGUCUUUAAAAAUGUGUCACUGAGGAGAUUCAGGAAUCACCAAUUCUAAGAAAGUUGCCCAGGAAAUACUAUAUUUCAUAGCAUCAUUAUGUUAAUAAUUCCCAAAUCUGUAUUUCCAAUCCAGACCUCUCCUCUGAGUUCUAGCCGCACAUAAUGCCUACUUUGAAUUUGGUUGUCUUACAGAGGUUUAAAAAGAAUUUUAUUAUUUUCCACAUUAAAUUUUCCUCACAUCAGUUAAUGGCAAUGUUCUCUGCUCAGUUGCUUGUAUUAGAAAUCCAGGAGUUACCCUCAAUUCUUUCCUUUCCUUUACCUUUGUCCUCUUUCCUUUCCUUUACCUUUGUCCUCCAAUCCAUUAUCGAGUAUUAAUAAAUCUGAAAUUCAAACAACUUAUCUCUGUCUUCAAUACUACUAGCCUAAUCUAAGUGAUUGUCAUAUUUUUCUUGGAUACUGUAAUAUUUUCCUUUUGUCCCUUCACAACACUUAUCACAGUUUGUUUAAUUUACUGAUCUGCUAUUUACUUGUGAUUUUCUUAAUCUUAUAUUACUACUAGACUAUACAGAAAUUCUUUGAGAAUAGGUACAGAGUCUGUCUUGUUCACUCUAAUAAUCCCAGCAUCUAGCAGAGGACCUAGCUCAUCAUAGGAAAUUAAUAAAUACUUUAGAAUAUUUGUUGAAUUAAUCAAUGAAAAUUUAAUAGUCCAGAAUUAUAGCAUGAUUCUUAUAGUGAAAUAGUUGAAGUUGAGGCCUUUAUUUAAUCAAACCUGGUAAAAUUGACUGAAACUACCUACCAUAAUUAAAAUCAAUUGUAUUAUAGUAUAUUUGAAAGUGUGUGUUGAAAUUAAAACUAUACACCUGGAAUCCAGAAAGAGAGGAAACACUCAGGAUUUGGUCAUGUUUUCCAUCCAGCAUGUUCAGGAUUGAGAAAUUAUGAACCCAAAGAAUAUUGUUAAGUUAGUUAUUAGAGAGGUACACUUAUUCUAGAGCAUAGAUCAUUUCUUAUGCUUUACCUGUGACCUGAAUUAAAUAGACCUUAAUAACAUCAACCUCCUUUUUUCUGAUCAUUCCCAAGUAGUGUUUUGAUUAUCAACUUAGAUUCCUUGGUACCUUCAUACUGGGAAAGAAAUGAUUUAGACAACAAACGUAAAUAUUCUUGUCACUGGAAAAAUGCAUUUCACAUUAGAACAUAAUUCUGUGAGGACAGAAAAUUGAUCAUCACAGUUACAUCCUCGCUCUUUAUAGAACUAUGCUGAGCACAAAGCAGAUUUUUUUUUUUUGGUGGGUACUAGGGAUUGAACCCAGGGCACUUAAUCACUGGGCCACAUCCCCCCAAAGUAGAUUCUUUAUAAGUACUUGGUGAAUGAAUGAAUGUGUAUUAGUAAAUUAGGAUUAUAUUUUAUACCACAGUCUCUUAUGCAUUUUUUAUUGUGAGUCAGUCUUCAAGUAUUUUUUAUUGUGAGUCAGUCUUCAAGUGUUCUGUACUACAUGCAUUAUGAAAAUUAGGUUUCUGAUUUUGGAGGCCAAAUAUGAGAUCCUGAACUCUGGUAUUCCACCUAAAGGUCCUUGAGAUUAUUUGGUUAGCCAGUUUACCACCUCCUUUGGUAUCUUGUAAUUCCAGUUCAUCCUCUUUAGCCUAUAAAGUUUUUUAAAUAAAAAGAAAUCUAAUUGUGUUGUUCUCCUGAUUAAAAAUCAAUUAAUUCUGUUACCUUCCGAAUAAUAGCUAGCCCAAGUCUCUCUCAAUGUCCACCUCCCCUUACAAUUUUACUAUCUAUCUUUCUUACCAUUCCCCAUUCACAGAUGCUAAGUUCUAGCUGCACUGUAUCCCUUAAUAUUUCAUGAACAUGCUGUGCUCCUUGAUUUUUUCCAUACUAUUUCCGCUGGCUAGAAUGUCUUUGCCUGCUUUUUCCAUCUGAUGAACUCCUAUCAUCCUUUAAAAUCCAGCUAGAUGUUACUUUUGAAGAACGCUUUGAUUUCAUUCUUGUUUUCUCUUUACUACUCUAUCACAGUCCUUACCAUAUCAUGGGUAGCUGUCUUUGAGGUCAUGGAGGGCAGGAUCUGUGUCUUACUCAACUUUCUGUGCUUUUCCAACACCUAGCACAUGUUUGUGAAAGCAAAACCUAUAUGAAGUGAGAGAUAGGAGCACUAAUAACUAACUUGCCAACAGACUUAGCUUCUUGAGCACAACCUCCUUCCCAAGGGAGGAUGGGAAAUUUCCCAGCUAUAUUCUGUUUGGAAUAAUAGAGUAUGAACACAGUCAGGAAAGAAAUGUGUUUUACAUAUUCCCUUUAUGAUUCACUAUAAAAGGAGGUAAUAACAUUCUUCUUGACAUCAGCAGGCUCUCAAAGGAGUGAUUCAUUGUACCUUGUACAUACUCAGUACUGUGGAUUGUCACUGUUUUUAAAAAUGUUUUGGAUUCUCACUAUUAAUUGCUAAUCUUUCCCCCUUGCUCUCGAAAGACAUUGUAAUAUCAACAUCCCGCACAGUGCCUAAUACUUAUUAGGAGCUCAAUAAAUGUUUAUUGAAAGACUUAUGAAUUAAUAAAACAAAAAUGAAACUUU
This 4287-nucleotide long non-coding RNA is filed under the name Marmota monax (woodchuck). Lineage: Eukaryota; Metazoa; Chordata; Mammalia; Rodentia; Sciuridae. The record is from RNAcentral.